This 67-nucleotide transfer RNA is filed under the name Marmota monax (woodchuck). RNAcentral's name for it is "tRNA.Ala". The record is from RNAcentral. Lineage: Eukaryota; Metazoa; Chordata; Mammalia; Rodentia; Sciuridae.
GGUUGUGGCUCAGUGGUAGAGUGCUUGCCUAGCACAUGUGAGGCACUGGGUUUGAACCCCAGGACCA